GGAAAUAAGCUCAGUGGUAGAGCUCAUGCUUAGUUUGCAUGAGGUCCUGGGUUCAAUCCUCAGUAUCUCCA
RNAcentral lists this transfer RNA (71 nucleotides) under Camelus bactrianus (Bactrian camel). It matches the Rfam family "tRNA". From Rfam's summary of the family: Transfer RNA (tRNA) molecules are approximately 80 nucleotides in length. The record is from Rfam by way of RNAcentral. RNAcentral also lists the same sequence under 1 other name. Lineage: Eukaryota; Metazoa; Chordata; Mammalia; Artiodactyla; Camelidae.